AAACACUGCAUUUGUUUACACCCCGAAUCUUGAAUCACAAUGGGGCAGCUUGGGCUGCCCAGGCCCGGCGAGGCCGGGCUUUCUCCUAGACACUGAAGUCUGUUCUCCGACCCAAGGGACACAAGAAAAGCUGGAGUAAAGUGGCAUGAUCUCGGCUCACUGCAGCCUCCGCCCCCGCCAGGUUCAAGUGAUUCUCCUGCCUCAGCCUCCCGAGUAGCUGGGAUUACAGGCGCAGGCCACCAUGCCCAGGUCACCCGUACUUCAUUUACCAGUCCUUGCUAAGGAUUAUUCAUUAAAACACACAACAGCAACAAUAACCACAAAAGCAACAAUAAAAAUACCUUUGAACUCACUCAAUCUUGAACUAUUGAACAUGCUAAGUCCGUGUCAUUGGCCUACUUAAUCAGCCCUCGAUUGUAACUUGAAGAAGCUUAUUGAUAAGAAAAUAAACUUCUCAUAAA
RNAcentral lists this long non-coding RNA (461 nucleotides) under Homo sapiens (human). Its description in RNAcentral is "non-protein coding LINC02219:9". Lineage: Eukaryota; Metazoa; Chordata; Mammalia; Primates; Hominidae. The record is from RNAcentral.